This 397-nucleotide small RNA is filed under the name Histoplasma capsulatum. RNAcentral's name for it is "hypothetical RNA". RNAcentral also lists the same sequence under 1 other name. Lineage: Eukaryota; Fungi; Ascomycota; Eurotiomycetes; Onygenales; Ajellomycetaceae. The record is from RNAcentral.
CCAUUAUAUCCUCGGAAUACUGGACUGACAGAUAUUGAUGGAGACUAAACAAACCAUCGAGACAGCUACUCUACAGUGCUUUCCGAAACUGACAACCCUCCGGAAACAUAGAGUUUACAAACAACAUCACAUUGGUAUAGUUAUAUCAAGAAAUGGGAUGACAUACCUCGUGAUAUUUCUCAAGCCUACCUAAUAUCAAGUCGGAGCUUAUUUAGACGUCCAAUUUUGCACGAAGCACGGAGCACCGAUUCUGCACUCUGUAUAUGGACAUGACCGUGUGUGAGGGUUGUUGUAAGCAAGAAAAAGACUACCAGCUAUCUCAGCGUAAGGACGAAGUCUUGAAUAGGCAGUGAAGAGCCAAUAGGGACAGUCACACCCAGCGAAUCCAGGAAUAAAU